This 1331-nucleotide long non-coding RNA is filed under the name Panax ginseng (ginseng). RNAcentral describes it as "long non-coding RNA (PGIN_LNC014454)". The record is from RNAcentral. Lineage: Eukaryota; Viridiplantae; Streptophyta; Magnoliopsida; Apiales; Araliaceae.
UCGAACUAUGGGCUUCUUGCAAUAUUUCUUCUUUUAAUUUCGGUACUAACGGUACCCAUAGUCUACAUUUGAAUCACAAUAACCCCUUGUUAUCGAGUUUAAACUCAUUUUCCCCUUCGUAAAUUCUAUUCUUUAACCUCUCACACUCCUUAUCUUUAAGUUGUAUCUUUUUACUCUGCCCAAUAUGGUGGAUGUUGUUGUUGUUUGUGGUGGAUCAUGAAGGAUCUGAAGAUAUAAGGAGGUUGUGAUGGAGUUUAUAUGUUAUAAUUGUGAGACCCCGAAUUUUAUGAAAUAAAAGUAUUCAAUUUUUCUAUUUUGGUAAAUAGUUAAAUUGAUAAAAGUUUAAAGUUAAGGGUGAUAUGUGAAUUUUUUUUAAAGUAGACAAGUUGUCAUAAAAUACCCGGUUACUAUUCACUCUAGUAUUGUUCACUCGAGUAUUUGGGGCACUUUUUAUGUCAGAGUACUAUUCACGAGUUACUAUUCACGGGUUACUAUUCACCCAAAUAUUAUUCACUCGGGUAUUUGGGAUAUUUUUCGUGUCAGAGUACUAUUCACGGGUUACUAUUCACCCGAUUACUAUUCACUCUCGUAUUGUUCACUCGGGUAUUUGGGACACUUUUUGUGUCGGGAUACUAUUCACAGGGUACUAUUCCCGAAGUACUAUUCACAGAGUACUAUUCACCUGAAAAAUAUAUUUUUUUCGGUCCAAAUCAUUUUUUGGUACAAUAUUAUUUCAUGAGGAGAUGUGCUAAUUUUUCAGACAGUUGGUUGAAAUUAUAAUAGUAAAUCAAUAUGGAUCGUUGGUUUAAAGUUUUAAUAGUAAAUCAGUAUGGACCGUUGCUUUAAGUUUUAAUAGUAAAUCAAUCUGGACCGUCCGUUUAAAAGUAAAUCAAUCUGGACCGUUCAUGAAUUAGUUACUAUGCAGUCCAUUCUCCUAUAAAUAGAAGCUCAUUCCUUCAUUAUUUCUUACGAAUUCACUGAAACUCUAGAUAGAGAAACUAUAGAGAGAGUUCUUCUUCUAUAAUCUUGAGCGUAUUUAUUUAGAGUUUAAGAAAGCUUUGAGCGUAGUGCAAGUUUUCUUCGAGUAUAUCCUCUCCCUACCAGUCGGAAUACUCUUCUUUCAAAGAUAAGGAAUAUUAUUUGUUGUACUCAUAAGGGGUAUUCUUUCUUUCUUAUUCAUGAAGAGAACUUCUGUUAUUCCAUUCUUUAUUAUUCUGUCGGAAUAUCCUGUCUGUGCAUUUUAUGCCGGACCUAGUUCCAUUAUUUAUUAUUCUGUUGGAAUAACCUAUCUGUGCGAUCUAUCGCAUGCAUUUUGAAUUCUGUUGUUAUUC